This 253-nucleotide ribosomal RNA is filed under the name uncultured bacterium. RNAcentral's name for it is "partial 16S ribosomal RNA". It matches the Rfam family "Bacterial small subunit ribosomal RNA", at positions 524 to 776 of the family's 1533-position model. The record is from RNAcentral.
UACGGGGGGAGCAAGCGUUGUUCGGAUUUACUGGGCGUAAAGGGUGCGUAGGCGGCGCGGUAAGUCGGGUGUGAAAUCUCGGAGCUUAACUCCGAAACUGCAUUCGAUACUGCCGUGCUUGAGGACUGGAGAGGAGACUGGAAUUUACGGUGUAGCGGUGAAAUGCGUAGAUAUCGUAAGGAAGGCCAGUGGCGAAGGCGGGUCUCUGGACAGUUCCUGACGCUGAGGCACGAAGGCCAGGGGAGCAAACGGG